This 117-nucleotide non-coding RNA is filed under the name marine eukaryotic metagenome. The record is from RNAcentral.
GGAGGUAGGUCCUCCGGAGCCGACUUUCAGGAGUAGGCUUCAAACCACCCUAAGCUGCGUUGAUUAAGAGUCAAGGUGGUGAGCGUUAGGGAAAAGGUUCCGCAAGACGGGAUCAGG